Long non-coding RNA from Hyaena hyaena (striped hyena), 1479 nucleotides. RefSeq lists it as uncharacterized. The record is from RefSeq and is a predicted model, not a curated record. The transcript has 5 exons. Lineage: Eukaryota; Metazoa; Chordata; Mammalia; Carnivora; Hyaenidae.
AGGGAAGAUGGGUCCAAGGGACAGCUUCCGUCUCAGAGGAUGGGUGCAGAGGUGGCACUGUGAGCCAUCGUAGGGGAGCUGGGAGGGCUGACUGGUUUGAGAUAGGAGCAACAGGAGAUUGAAGGAGCAAGUCAUGGGGCUGCAGAGGCUACCAAGCCGGUGUAAAGCCCCCGAAGCCCUGAGAAGAGCAGGUUUUAAGAAGUAGAACGAGUCGUCGUGAUUUCACGCAGCCACUAGAUGCCAGAUAUUGGCUGGCUGUGGGCCUCUGAGGAGUGCUGAGACGGGCCUGGUACAAGUCUGGGUGGGCAGCUUUGGUGGUUGCAGAUGCACAGGUUUCUCGGAGCUGACGUGCUGGCUCCACGAAUCGGCUGCUGGUGCGGCGGUCACAUUCACAGGUGCUGCGGCUUCCAGGCCUGGGGCUCUCUCUACCGACUCAUCCUCUCCAGCCCCCGGGGCCACGUCUGGAGCUUCGUACAGAUGGCAGGCUCCCAGUGAACCUGUGCAGCCAUAUGAGGUGUAAUUUGUGGUAAUUAAGAAAGAGCCUAAGUGGAUCACUCCCAAGAUUUAACGCUUGGCCUCCAGGCUGAUCAACCUCAGGUGUACAGCAGGGCCAUAUGGAGAAGAAUAAUGCCUCAUUAAUACAGUUAAAGAUAUUUUCCAUUAGGAUGCCCAACACUCCUUGGACACCUAAGGGUGCAUAAAUCAUUUUCUCCUAGAAUUUGAUGCCAGGAAAAAGUCUGCUGAGUUCAAACAGUUGGUGAAUAUGUCCUCCUUCCUAAGAAGUAUUUGCUUACUGAUAAUUUAUUUUCUGCCUCUUUCAAAAACCACUUGAAGAUAACAAAAACAAAUGUAGGAUGAAAGAAAUGAUAUUCAGGACAAAGAGGAAGAGGUCAGAAAGCAAAUUGGAAGGGGAGACAGACUCAGAGGCUGCGAUGAUUUUCUCCCCUUGAAAUUGAGCAGUAAAUUUAGCUCUUGCCUGGCAGCUGAGGCAGUUAGACCCAAGUAUAGAGUGUUCAUCAUCUAAUUAAAGAGCAAAACUAUUUGCUCAGAGAAAGGCAUUUUCCAGGAGGUGAAGGAAGACAGCUACAAAAACAGCUGCCGGAUCCUGGUCCACCUGCCACCCCUGGCCCCUCCCGCUCCCCAGGCACUGGGAUGAGUCUGUGGAGGGCCACCUGGCAUCUGUCCCUGGAAGCAAAGUUUAGUUCUCCGCCUUUUCUCUGAGGGCAAAAAAUGGUUCUGUGUCUCCUAUCAGCCUCUUGUUCAGCCCCAGACUAUGCAGCUAAUUGACUUGGAAUAUCUUCACCUCCCACUGGCCCCCUUGCUCUCAAAUCUCUCCUUGUGCAAAAAGACUUUUUUGAUGGCAAUUUGGCUGACACUCCAUGAGCUGUGCCAGUCAGCUGCCAGUGACCCAUCAUAGCAUCAUUCAAAACUGUCAAAAGGUGGAAACAACCCAAGUGGCUGUUGACAGAUGAGCAGAAA